Molecule: transfer RNA, 66 nt
Filed under: Glossogobius aureus (golden tank goby)
Lineage: Eukaryota; Metazoa; Chordata; Actinopteri; Gobiiformes; Gobiidae
Description: tRNA-Cys
Source: RNAcentral
AGCCCUGAGGUGUAAAACAUGCUAGAUUGCAAAUCUUGAGUAGCGGAGUAAAGUCUGCCGGGGCUU